This 253-nucleotide ribosomal RNA is filed under the name uncultured bacterium. RNAcentral's name for it is "partial 16S ribosomal RNA". It matches the Rfam family "Bacterial small subunit ribosomal RNA", at positions 524 to 776 of the family's 1533-position model. The record is from RNAcentral.
UACAGAGGGGGCAAGCGUUGUUCGGAAUGAUUGGGCGUAAAGCGUAUGUAGGUGGCUUUUCAAGUCCGCCGUCAAAUCCUAGGGCUCAACCUUGGACAGGCGGUGGAAACUACCAAGUUGGAGUACGGUAGGGGCAGGCGGAAUUCCGGGUGUAGCGGUGGAAUGCGUAGAGAUCCGGAAGAACACCGGUGGCGAAGGCGGCCUGCUGGGCAGUAGCUGACACUGAGGCGCGACAGCGUGGGGAGCAAACAGG